RNAcentral lists this ribosomal RNA (515 nucleotides) under uncultured bacterium. Its description in RNAcentral is "bacterial SSU rRNA". It matches the Rfam family "Bacterial small subunit ribosomal RNA", at positions 29 to 526 of the family's 1533-position model. The record is from RNAcentral.
AACGAACGCUGGCGGCGUGCCUAACACAUGCAAGUCGAGCGCGAAAGGGGUAACCCGAGUAGAGCGGCGCACGGGUGCGUAACACGUGGGUAAUCUGCCCUGGAGAUUCGGAUAACCAUCCGAAAGGAUGGCUAAUACGGGAUAAGCCCCCGGUGUCUUCGGACGCUGAGGGAAAAGGUGGCCUCUGUUUACAAGCUACCACUCCAGGAUGAGCCCGCGGCCCAUCAGCUAGUUGGCGGGGUAAUGGCCCACCAAGGCAACGACGGGUAGCUGGUCUGAGAGGACGAUCAGCCACACUGGAACUGAGACACGGUCCAGACUCCUACGGGAGGCAGCAGUGGGGAAUUUUGCGCAAUGGGCGAAAGCCUGACGCAGCAACGCCGCGUGUGUGAUGAAGGUCUUCGGAUUGUAAAGCACUUUCGACCGGGACGAAAAAGCAGGUGCUAAUCAGCCUGCCUUGACGGUACCGGGAGAAGAAGCACCGGCUAACUCUGUGCCAGCAGCCGCAGUAAUAC